GUUCCGGUGGCCAAGUGGUUAGAGCGUCCGCCUCGGAUGCGAGCGGUUGUGGGUUCAUUCCCUGUCCGAGUCA
Molecule: non-coding RNA, 73 nt
Organism: Potamilus streckersoni
Lineage: Eukaryota; Metazoa; Mollusca; Bivalvia; Unionida; Unionidae
Source: the annotation of a GenBank genome assembly